UUUCCGUAGGUGAACCUGCGGAAGGAUCAUUCAUAAUAAGUGUUUUAUGGCACUUUUUUAAAUCCAUAUCCACCUUGUGUGCAAUGUCAGGGUUGAUCUUUCUCUCGAGAGGAUCGGCCCCAAACAUCAACUAUAUCUCAACUCUUUGUUUGAAAAAUAUUAUGAAUAAAACAAUUCAAAAUACAACUUUCAACAACGGAUCUCUUGGCUCUC
RNAcentral lists this unclassified non-coding RNA (213 nucleotides) under plant metagenome. RNAcentral describes it as "partial contains small subunit ribosomal RNA, internal transcribed spacer 1, and 5.8S ribosomal RNA". The record is from RNAcentral.